Molecule: ribosomal RNA, 484 nt
Filed under: uncultured bacterium
Lineage: Bacteria
Description: partial 16S ribosomal RNA
Rfam family: Bacterial small subunit ribosomal RNA
Source: RNAcentral
AUUGAACGCUGGCGGCAUGCCUUACACAUGCAAGUCGAACGGCAGCACGGGAGUAAUCCUGGUGGCGAGUGGCGAACGGGUGAGUAAAGCAUCGGAACGUGCCCCGUCGGGGGGGGUAACGUAGCGAAAGCUACGCUAAUACCGCAUACGAUCUGUGGAUGCAACCGGGGGACCGUAGGACCUCGCGCGAUUGGAGCGGCCGAUGUCAGAUUAGGUAGUUGGUGGGGUAAAGGCUGACCAAGCCGACGAUCUGUAGCUGGUCUGAGAGGACGACCAGCCACACUGGGACUGAGACACGGCCCAGACUCCUACGGGAGGCAGCAGUGGGGAAUGUUGGACAAUGGGCGCAAGCCUGAUCCAGCAAUGCCGCGUGCAGGAUGAAGGCCUUCGGGUUGUAAACUGCUUUUGUACGGAGCGAAAAGGCUUCCACUAAUACUGGGGGCUCAUGACGGUACCGUAAGAAUAAGCACCGGCUAACUACGUG